AGAUUGUAACGCUGGCGGCAGGCUUAACACAUGCAAGUCGAACGGUAACAUAAAGAAGACUUGCUUCUUUUGUAUGACGAGUGGCGGACGGGUGGAGUAAUGGCUUGGGAAGUCUGGCUUUAUGAGGGGGAGUAACUACGGGAAACUAGUAGCUAAUACCGCGUAGAAUCGGGAGAUGAAAGUGUGGGACCUUCGGGCCACAUGCCAUAGGAUGAGCCCAAGUGGGAUUAGGUAGUUGGUGAGGUAAAGGCUCACCAAGCCGACGAUCUCUAGCUGGUCUGAGAGGAUGACCAGCCACACUGGGACUGAGACACGGCCCAGACUCCUACGGGAGGCAGCAGUGGGGGAAUAUUGCGCAAUGGGGGGCAACCCUGACGCAGCCAUGCCGCGUGAAUGAAGAAGGCCUUCGGGUUGUAAAGUUCUUUCGGUAGCGAGGAAGGCAUUUAGUUUAAUAGACUAGGUGAUUGACGUUAACUACAGAAGAAGCACCGGCUAACUCCGUG
This 503-nucleotide ribosomal RNA is filed under the name uncultured Haemophilus sp. Its description in RNAcentral is "bacterial SSU rRNA". It matches the Rfam family "Bacterial small subunit ribosomal RNA", at positions 32 to 507 of the family's 1533-position model. The record is from RNAcentral. Lineage: Bacteria; Pseudomonadati; Pseudomonadota; Gammaproteobacteria; Pasteurellales; Pasteurellaceae.